GUUGUUGUUGUUGUUAUUGUUGUUGCUGCUGUUGUUAUUGUUGAUCCGUUUGUUAUUGUUGUUGUUAUGAACACCAUUUUUAAAGUACUAUAUAUUGAUACAAGCACGGACUUUAGUUUGGCCAAAUGUAAAAAAUUUCUUUUUUCCUUAUUUCUGUCGUUUAUUAAUAAUAUUCGCAUAAAAUUUGCUUGUACAAUUUUGUAUUUAUUUAUAAAGCAUAUUGUAAAUAUGCACAGUAUGAAAAAAUAUUGACAUUUCUUUAAAUGAUGUAAAUGUUAUCUUUGAAAAGACAUAGAGAUAACAUGUAUGUACAUACAUAACGAUUAUGUAUUUUUCAACUUUUUUUCUUCAUUGAUAAAACGAUAAAAGAUAAAAGCGACAGUAUUUUACUGUCUGUGCAACUGUAUGUGUCACUUUGACUGCCUAAUAUGCAACUAAUAUGCAACUAAUAUGCCAAACUAAUGGAGUACCUAUCUGAUUUGUAAAAAGAUGCUACCUAUAUGUUAUUUUAUAACUAAUGCGACGAUAGCAAGAACGGUAAUGAUUACGUCUUGCCAAAGUAAAAAAUAGUUAAUGUUUUGACACGUUCUCACAUCAUUUGCUAGUCUCUACAGUUAGUUAUUAAUAAGUAUACGUAUAAAUGUAUGUUUAUAAAUAUUAAUGGUGUGAUUAGAAGAAAAGUAUCUUUUUGAAUUUUUAACAAUAAUAGUACUAUUACAGUUAAAUUCAUGGAGGAUAAUGCUGAAUAAUGUGUUCAUUCCAGUCGAUACAUCAAAAAUUUACAAAAAUUGACAUACGCUAUCUAUCAUUUUAUAAGAUAUUUGUUAUCAUAAGAUAUAAAAAUGUUUGGUAAAAUUUGUCUUAACGGAAUACGACGACGUAUCUUUGAAUUGUUCAGUUAGAUUUUUCAAACGUGCUAUAAUAUUUCAAGUGAGUAAUCUUAAUGUGAAUUUACGUCAUGCACCGUGCAAUUUUGAUCAUAGAAAGCAGUUAUUUUACACAUUUAUUUAUUUCUUUAACAGCUCGCACAAAAGAUUAGUUUUAAUUUGGUAGAAUGUUUUAUUUAAAGAUAUUAUAUGAAUUCUACAUGAACAUUUACAAAUAAGAAAACGCUAAAUCAGCAUAUAAAAUAUGCACGCCUCGUGUAUUUACAUGACAAGUAUUUACAUACUCGUACAUUUUCAUCUACAAGCUGAGUAUUUAUAAUGCUGCAUAUAUAGUAUAGAUCCUUAGUAUUCAAUUAAAUUAAAAGACAGAUAUUCUAAGUAUUUAAUAAAAAGUGUAUACUGCUUUUUUACACUUUUUUUUCCCUUCAAAAAAAUUUUACUAAGUGAAUGAUUGUACUCUUAAUGUUUCUUUUUUCUUUUCUUUUUUUAUUUAUGACGAUCUUGUAUAACUCAUAACAUUAAUAUGAAAUCUAAUUCUAACACGACACACACACACGAUCUUUAUUUUUAAAUGAUAAUAAAUAUUGAUGAAAUCUGCAUUAUAAGCACACGGUCUAACGAUAUGUAAACAAGUAGAAUUCAACGUUUUUAAUUUUAGUCAAUCUUACGUUACGUACGCCAUUGUUUCAUAUAAAAAUAAGGGAUACUAGUCGGAGGUAUAAGUAAUUAAUAUAUUUAAAAAGUAUUUCGUACAGUAAAGAAGUAUAAAAAAUAUGUAGUACGGAUAAAAUAAGACGCCUUCGAUGCAUUUACAAUAAAAUAUCUACAUGUGUGAUCUAAGUAUAUACACAUACAUAUAAUGUCACGUUCGCAAUGUUAUAAGAAAGAAAAAAAAAGUUAAUUUAAAAAACGUUAAUAAAAAAAAUAAUAUCUACACGUUUUUAUAACGCGACAUCUAUUUCUAUAAUCAACGCUGUUCUAGAGUUUUCUUUUUUUUCGUCAUCUAUAUUGUAAUCUAUUAGUCCUGAUGUCUCAAUCAUCUAAUUGCACACAAUUGACUGUACAUGUAUGAGAGCAUUGCUAUAAAUGCUGUUUUUGUAACUAUUUAGAUUGUGUAUUGUAUCAUAAUUAAUAGCAGCAGCAACAGUAGCAGCAGCAGCAGCAACAGAUCAUCGUUAUUAGGAUCAUCGUCGUCAUCGCUAUCUUAUUAAAUAAAUAUUAUAAUAAAAGCACAUACAGAUGUGUCAAAGCAUACAUAGAUGUAAUACGCGUAAGUUGUAAUUUUUCGAUUAUUUCCACAUUUAUUUUCUAACAGCUCUUAACAAUGAAUGUUCCUCGAAUUCCUCAGAUAAAACUAGAGGAUGUAGGAUGUUAUGAUAAACUUAGUAAAAUUAAUAUUAUCAUAUCUCUGUUUAAGCUGUUUAUAUUUUUAUUAAUAUUGCUGUAAAUUUUUCAUAGUAAUCAAGGACAAAUAACAACAAGGACAACUUAUAAUUUCCCUUCUCGGUCGUUGUUUUAAUGAAUAUCGAAUAAAAGUGUAUAGCGUAUUACUACAUGUAACGUUCAAGUGGAGGAUAUUGUUUGUAAUCGGUAGAAUAAAAAAAUGUGUGUCUUGUGCUGCUUGUGCAUUCCUCGUAUAACAUAUGCAGUAUAUAUUAAUACUUCAACAUUUAUUAAUUUUAUAGUAUUUAUGAGAGAGAAAGAGAGAGAGAGAAAAACACAAGUUCGUAACAUUCAAAAUAAUAACUUUAGUAACUUCAAUGCAAAAUUUUGUACAGUUGAAAAUAAUAACAAAUUUGUUCGUAAUAAAUUUAUUAAGUAGGAAACAUACAUUUAUAUACAUGCAUUACAUACGCAUAUAUGUAUAGGUCAAAAGAUACCAACUGGAUCCAUCAUAGCUCACCGCCAGCUUAGGACGUAUUUAUUAAAGAUUAGUGGACAGUAAGAAAGCAUUGUAAUUACAUAUACGUUUACGGAUAAAUAAACUGAAGAAAACGGAAACGUGUUAAGAGACAAAUAAAAAUAUUCUGUUGAUGUUCAAAAAAGUUUGAUGCAUAUAGAUGCAAAUUUGUAACGCAAAAAGUAAUUUCAAUUUGUGUGACAAUAAUAACAUCGUACAAUAUUACAUAUACGAUGAAUAUAACGACAAAUUUAUAAAUAGACAUUUACGUACAGCCAUGAUCAAUGCAUUCUAAAUUUAUAAUCUUAUAAUGGUUUACGCUAACGAGAAUAAGAUCUACGGGCGUAAUUCUCGACCGACUUCAACAAACGAUCUCUCAUUUUAAAGAUUAAAGUUUAAUCGAUUACAUGGCUUUUUCGAAUUUUUGAAAAAAGCUUUAUUUUCUUUGACAAGAGUCGUAUCGAAAAAUGUUUUUUUUUUCGAGAAUAAUGUAUGCAUAAAAAUAAAGUUUUGUGGGAUCUUUCCGUGUUACACGUAGAGAGAGAGAGAACGCUUCCUUUAUUCUGUAGGGGAAGGAUAGGGAGAAAAAUCGUGCGCGCGCAUCGGCGAGCACAGAAGUCGGUAUUCGUAGAGGCGAUUAUGUCCUACCAUGGACUUCGCUUUAAUGUUCGAAAUUCUGAAAAUACCAACGGUAGUGUUCAAUGGCGAUUAUCGAAGCUUUCGAUGUUGCGACGAUCUUGCUGUCAGCUUCCAAGCGGGAACCGGAUCUUCUCCAAUUAGCAUAUAGUUCCAUCAAAAGAAGAAACGAAGAUGAUUGGAAAAAGGGAAUGUCGGUCGAACCUUUGAAUGAAGGAAGACGGAAAUAAUGACGCUAUGA
Vespula pensylvanica (western yellowjacket) is the source of this 3664-nucleotide long non-coding RNA. RefSeq lists it as uncharacterized. The transcript has 2 exons. The record is from RefSeq and is a predicted model, not a curated record. NCBI's taxonomy places the organism in Eukaryota, Metazoa, Arthropoda, Insecta, Hymenoptera, Vespidae.